This 451-nucleotide ribosomal RNA is filed under the name uncultured bacterium. RNAcentral describes it as "partial 16S ribosomal RNA". It matches the Rfam family "Bacterial small subunit ribosomal RNA", at positions 28 to 507 of the family's 1533-position model. The record is from RNAcentral.
GAUGAACGCUGGCGGAGUGCCUAACACAUGCAAGUCGAGCGGCAGCGCGAGUAGUUUACUACUUGGCGGCGAGCGGCGGACGGCUGAGUAACGCGUGGGAACAUGCCCCAAAGUGAGGAAUAACUGCCCGAAAGGGUAGCUAAUGCCGCAUAUGAUCUUCGGAUUAAAGGAUUUAUCCGCUUUGGGAGUGGCCUGCGUACGAUUAGAUAGUUGGUGAGGUAAAGGCUCACCAAGUCGACGAUCGUUAACUGGUUUGAGAGGAUGAUCAGUCAGACUGGAACUGAGACACGGUCCAGACUCCUACGGGAGGCAGCAGUGAGGAAUCUUCCACAAUGGGCGAAAGCCUGAUGGAGCAACUCCGCGUGCAGGAUGAAGGCCUUCGGGUUGUAAACUGCUUUUAUGAGUGAAGAAUAUGACGGUAACUCAUGAAUAAGAGUCGGCUAACUACGUG